Molecule: ribosomal RNA, 255 nt
Filed under: uncultured bacterium
Lineage: Bacteria
Description: partial 16S ribosomal RNA
Rfam family: Bacterial small subunit ribosomal RNA
Source: RNAcentral
UACGGAGGGGGCUAGCGUUGUUCGGAAUUACUGGGCGUAAAGCGCACGUAGGCGGAUUGGAAAGUCAGAGGUGAAAUCCCAGGGCUCAACCUUGGAACUGCCUUUGAAACUCCCAGUCUUGAGUUCGAGAGAGGUGAGUGGAAUUCCGAGUGUAGAGGUGAAAUGCGUAGAUAUCUGGAGGAACACCGGUGGCGAAGGCGGCAUCCUGGACCAAUACUGACACUGAGGAGCGAAAGCCAGGGGAGCAAACGGGAU